UGGGGAAUAUUGCACAAUGGGCGCAAGCCUGAUGCAGCCAUGCCGCGUGUGUGAAGAAGGCCUUCGGGUUGUAAAGCACUUUCAGCGGGGAGGAAGGCGGUGAGGUUAAUAACCUCAUCGAUUGACGUUACCCGCAGAAGAAGCACCGGCUAACUCCGUGCCAGCAGCCGCGGUAAUACGGAGGGUGCAAGCGUUAAUCGGAAUUACUGGGCGUAAAGCGCACGCAGGCGGUCUGUCAAGUCGGAUGUGAAAUCCCCGGGCUCAACCUGGGAACUGCAUUGGAAACUGGCAGGCUAGAGUCUUGUAGAGGGGGGGAGAAUUCCAGGUGUAGCGGUGAAAUGCGUAGAGAUCUGGAGGAAUACCGGUGGCGAAGGCGGCCCCCUGGACAAAGACUGACGAUCAGGUGCGAAAGCGUGGGGAGCAAACAGG
This 429-nucleotide ribosomal RNA is filed under the name Chloroflexota bacterium. Its description in RNAcentral is "Chloroflexi bacterium partial 16S ribosomal RNA". It matches the Rfam family "Bacterial small subunit ribosomal RNA", at positions 355 to 776 of the family's 1533-position model. Lineage: Bacteria; Bacillati; Chloroflexota. The record is from RNAcentral.